AGGCGGGCCCGCCUCCUCCGAGACCCGGGGCGAUGGAGACCUGGGAGCUCAGAGAUCCGGAGCCCCGGGGACCUGCAGACCUAGGGGACUCACACAGCCCGGAUCGCAUAGACCCAGGACCUCACAGAGCCAGAAUCGCAUAGAUCCGGCACCGCAGAGCCUCGGGACCUCAAACACGCUGGGACUCAAAGACUUCGCCUCCCACUUCCCAAUCCUGCACAAACUCCUCAUGAGACCCUGGGAGCUCACCGAUCUCCAGAGCCACCCUGCUCAAAGACCCCGGGAACCUCACAGACCCCGGGCCCCCUCCCAGCUCCUCUGAGAUACCGUAUUGUCCGUGUUGUCGUUCCCCUAACCCCUUGCAGCAAGGCCCUGCACGGGCCUAAAAACUGCCCCAGCUCCUUAGAUAUUGCUCCCUCUCUCCUUGCCCACACUUCCCUUCCCUGUAACAUUCAAAGGCUCUCCUUCCAGGACCCGGCCAACUCCUUGAAGACCCCACUCAGGACCAGGACAGACGGGGCCCCUCCCUCAUUCCAAACCUGACAUUCCUCACCCUUGCCCACAAGGGGCCCCAGAUAUACCCGAAUACUCGAGAGACUCUGGAGACAAGGCUUGGCCUGGCAGAGACACCUACCUAUUCCUUUCCAACUGCUCCACGCACACCCCAGGGUUCCGAGGUUUGGACCGCCUAGAGCCACUCCAGCACCCAACGUUGCCCUGAUGCCAGAGCUCAGCCCUCCAUCCUCUCCAACACUCCAAUUCACCGUUCUCAAGGUAUCUUCUACUUCCAAAACAAGCCCUCUUCCCUAUCGGCCCUCACACCCUCUGUCUUGGCUAGUUUUGUGUCAGCUCGACCAGGGACACAAGCUAGGUUCAUCUGAGAGGAGAAAAACUCAGUUGAGAAAACGCCUCCAUAAGAUAAGGCUGUAUGACAUUUUCUUAAUUAGUGAUUGAUGGGGGGUGGGAGGGAACACAGCCCAUUGUGGUGCCAUCCCUGGACUGGUGGUCCUGGGUUCUAUAAGGAAGCAGGCUGAGCAACGUAGGGGAAGACAAGCCAUCAGCUCCUGCCUCCAGGUUCUUGCCUGGUUUGACUUCCUGACUUAGCAUCCCUCAGUAGACUGUAAUUCGGGACAUGUAAGCCAAAUAAACCCCUCCUCCACCCCCAAGUAGCUUUGGUCAUGGUGUUUCAUCAUAGCAAUAGGAAGGUGACUAAGCCGGGCAGUGGCGGCGCACACUUUAAUCCCAGCAUUCCGGAGGCAGAGGCAGGCGGAUUUCCGAGUUUGAGGCCAGCCUGGUCUACAGAAUGAGUUCCAGGACAGCCAGGGCUACACAGAGAAACCCUGUCUCGAAAAAACAAACAAACAAACAAAGGACACACCUCCCUCCACUGUAUCCUACUGCAGGCUUCCCUCCAUCAGCCCCAAGUCCAGCAUAAUUCACUGAACACAUGCCCUGCCCAAAGGCACCAGCUCUAUCUACACUUGGGUUCUGAUUCCUACCUGGAUCACUUCUCUAAGUUUGGUCCCAAAAUAAACAUAACCUCACAGAGCAAUAAAUCCAGUCUUUAAUUCUCAGACACCAAAACUCUCCCUUCUGGCUCCCUAGUCUUCAAUCGUGAACUCACCCCUAAAGUCCCCCGUGGAAGCACUAAUUCUAUCUACAGCCUACGGAACAGAGGACCUCACCCCUUUCCUGACCUCCAAGGAGAGCCCGACCAUGUGAUAGUUUUAAAGUUUGGUUUCUCUAGGACUGGAUAAUGGAUCAAAUAAACUCUGGAAAAGGAAAGAAAA
RNAcentral lists this long non-coding RNA (1790 nucleotides) under Mus musculus (house mouse). RNAcentral describes it as "predicted gene, 54266". The record is from RNAcentral. Lineage: Eukaryota; Metazoa; Chordata; Mammalia; Rodentia; Muridae.